Molecule: transfer RNA, 72 nt
Filed under: Ictidomys tridecemlineatus (thirteen-lined ground squirrel)
Lineage: Eukaryota; Metazoa; Chordata; Mammalia; Rodentia; Sciuridae
Description: Spermophilus tridecemlineatus (thirteen-lined ground squirrel) tRNA
Rfam family: tRNA
About the family: Transfer RNA (tRNA) molecules are approximately 80 nucleotides in length. Their secondary structure includes four short double-helical elements and three loops (D, anti-codon, and T loops). Further hydrogen bonds mediate the characteristic L-shaped molecular structure. tRNAs have two regions of fundamental functional importance: the anti-codon, which is responsible for specific mRNA codon recognition, and the 3' end, to which the tRNAs corresponding amino acid is attached (by aminoacyl-tRNA synthetases). tRNAs cope with the degeneracy of the genetic code in two manners: having more than one tRNA (with a specific anti-codon) for a particular amino acid; and 'wobble' base-pairing, i.e. permitting non-standard base-pairing at the 3rd anti-codon position.
Source: Rfam by way of RNAcentral
UGGGAUGUGGUUCAGUGGCAGAGCUCUUCCCUCGAAAGUAUGAGGCACUGGGUUCAAUCCUCAGCAUCACAU